Molecule: ribosomal RNA, 259 nt
Filed under: Mantidactylus catalai
Lineage: Eukaryota; Metazoa; Chordata; Amphibia; Anura; Mantellidae
Description: partial 16S ribosomal RNA
Source: RNAcentral
GACCCCAUGGAGCUUUAAACCCAAUUAUAUCUCUAACCACUAUAACCAUUUAACCACUUAGAACUUAUAUACUUGGUUUUAGGUUGGGGCGACCACGGAGCACAACCAAACCUCCACGAUGAACGGAACAACCCCCUUAUCUGAGAAUUACACUUCUAAGAAUUAGCACACUAACAUAAAAUGACCCAUUAUUGAUCAACGAACCAAGUUACCCUGGGGAUAACAGCGCAAUCCAUUUUAAGAGCCCCUAUCGACAAAU